This 253-nucleotide ribosomal RNA is filed under the name uncultured bacterium. RNAcentral's name for it is "partial 16S ribosomal RNA". It matches the Rfam family "Bacterial small subunit ribosomal RNA", at positions 524 to 776 of the family's 1533-position model. The record is from RNAcentral.
UACGGAGGGUGCGAGCGUUGUCCGGAAUCACUGGGCGUAAAGGGCGCGUAGGCGGCCUGAUAAGUCGGGGGUGAAAUCCUGCGGCUUAACCGCAGGGCUGCCUUCUAAACUGUCAGGCUGGAGCACAGUAGAGGCAGGUGGAAUUCCCGGUGUAGCGGUGGAAUGCGUAGAGAUCGGGAAGAACAUCAGUGGCGAAGGCGGCCUGCUGGGCUGUUGCUGACGCUGAGGCGCGAAAGCGUGGGGAGCAAACAGG